AAGUCGUAACAAGGUUUCCGUAGGUGAACCUGCGGAAGGAUCAUUAUCAUCCUAUUUUUUAUUUUUUGUCACAAAAAAAUAAAAAAUUACCAUAAACUAAUCGUGAACUGUAUUUGCCUCCAAUGAGGGAAAAUUCAAAAGUGAGUGUAUCUUUUUUGAUGCCAUGAAAGAAUGUUGAAUUUGUUUUCAAUUUUUUUUCACACAAUUGUUUUUUUUCUCUUAUUGGUUGUAUUUUCAUUUUUUUUUUAUUUACCCUUUGAACAACUCAUUUCAUACAAAAUAUGAACUGAAUUAUUUUUUUUUCUUUUAAUUUUUUUUUGAAAGAAAAAAAGGAUAAAUUAUUAAUGAAAAAUAAGAGAAAACAACUCUUAGCAACGGAUAUCUUGGUUCUC
This 392-nucleotide unclassified non-coding RNA is filed under the name fungal sp. Its description in RNAcentral is "partial internal transcribed spacer region". The stretch from base 1 to 46 matches the Rfam family "Eukaryotic small subunit ribosomal RNA", at positions 1786 to 1831 of the family's 1831-position model. The record is from RNAcentral. Lineage: Eukaryota; Fungi.